Molecule: unclassified non-coding RNA, 295 nt
Filed under: Hevea brasiliensis (rubber tree)
Lineage: Eukaryota; Viridiplantae; Streptophyta; Magnoliopsida; Malpighiales; Euphorbiaceae
Source: RNAcentral
CCUGAUUAAUAAUACUGGUUAAUGAUCGAGAAAUUAAUUUGGCCUGAACCCAGUCAUCCUGAAGACUUAAAAAUUUGUCUACUGAUGGAUGCUGCUUAUCCUCCUUGACUGAGAGAAUAAAUGCCGGAAAAAUUACAAGAAAGUAUUACCUGACAAAACAGUCUUAAACUUCUCUCACAUCUGUCAUUAAUUACCUAAAUACAUCAGCAAAGCCUCUGCUGGCAAUAGUUCACACACUAAGUAGCACACCUUAGGCAUUUGAGCAAUUUCUUGGCAGCAGAAGCCUCUUGUAAAG